AAAUUGAAGAGUUUGAUCAUGGCUCAGAUUGAACGCUGGCGGCAGGCCUAACACAUGCAAGUCGAACGGUAACAGGAAGCAGCUUGCUGCUUUGCUGACGAGUGGCGGACGGGUGAGUAAUGUCUGGGAAACUGCCCGAUGGAGGGGGAUAACUACUGGAAACGGUAGCUAA
This 172-nucleotide ribosomal RNA is filed under the name Escherichia coli. RNAcentral's name for it is "partial 16S ribosomal RNA". It matches the Rfam family "Bacterial small subunit ribosomal RNA", at positions 1 to 166 of the family's 1533-position model. Lineage: Bacteria; Pseudomonadati; Pseudomonadota; Gammaproteobacteria; Enterobacterales; Enterobacteriaceae. The record is from RNAcentral.